RNAcentral lists this non-coding RNA (26 nucleotides) under Rattus norvegicus (Norway rat). The record is from RNAcentral. Lineage: Eukaryota; Metazoa; Chordata; Mammalia; Rodentia; Muridae.
UGAAUAUUGAGAUGUGCCUGUGUACC